UGGCGGACGGGUGAGAAACGCGUGAGGAGCUGUCUUAUGCAGGGGGACAACAGUUGGAAACGGCUGCUAGUACCCCAUAAGCCGAGAGGUAAAAGGAGCAAUCCGGCAGAGGAGGUACUCGCGUCCUAUCAGCUAGUAGGUUGGGUAACGGCCGACCUAGGCGAAGACGGGUAGCCGGCCUGAGAGGGCGAUCAGCCACACUGGGACUGAGACACGGCCCAGACUCCUACGGGAGGCAGCAGUGGGGAAUCUUGCGCAAUGGGCGAAAGCCUGACGCAGCAACGCCGCGUGGGGGAUGAAGGCUUUCGGGUUGUAAACCCCUUUCGGCAGGGACGAAUCAAGACGGUACCUGCAGAAGAAGCCCCGGCUAACUACGUGCCAGCAGCCGCGGUAAUA
This 396-nucleotide ribosomal RNA is filed under the name uncultured anaerobic bacterium. Its description in RNAcentral is "bacterial SSU rRNA". It matches the Rfam family "Bacterial small subunit ribosomal RNA", at positions 96 to 525 of the family's 1533-position model. The record is from RNAcentral.